Peromyscus eremicus (cactus mouse) is the source of this 815-nucleotide long non-coding RNA. RefSeq lists it as uncharacterized. The record is from RefSeq and is a predicted model, not a curated record. Lineage: Eukaryota; Metazoa; Chordata; Mammalia; Rodentia; Cricetidae. The transcript has 3 exons.
GGUGAGGACUCGGUUGCCAGGGAGUCCGAGACCUCUGUUACCGAGGAGAAAUGUAGAGUCUCAGAGGUUGCUAGGGACGGAGUACCGGUUUCCCUGGAGCUUGGGGCUUCAGUUGCCCGGGUGGAAGGGACCUCGGUCACCCGUGGAGGCGAAUCCUGCGCCUCUUCCGGGUUUCUCGUGGGCUCUGUUUGGCAAGGCUAAGCAUUAGUGCUGCAGACGGGACUCCACCCGGCCGCGCAAUGUCCCACCGGGACGCGCAGGCCACACUCCUCUGCAGCGGGUGUGCCCCUCUGGUAAUGUAACUUCUCGACAUUGACCCAACUCCUCCACCCUUCUCCAAGCCUCUCCUAAGGACUGCACGUUUGGCAGAUUAGAAACCGCAAAUUAGGCAUGAAAAAUGCCAAGAGUGCCGCGGUGAUGGCGCACACCUUUAAUCCCAGCACCCGAGAGGCAGAGGCAGGCGGAUCUCUGUGAGUUCGAGGCCAGCCUGGUCUACAAAGUGAGACCCAGGACAGCCAAGGUUACACUGAAAAAACCCUGUCUCCAAAAACAAAACAAAACAAAGAAAAAAAGAAAAAUGCUAAGAGCAACAGUGUCAGGAAAGGGCAAACUGUCUCUGUGUGGCACGCUGAAGGUCCCUCACUUCCAGUCAUCAGAGCCCUGGCUAAGCCAAGGCAGUUGGACCCUGUCAAUGUUCUCCAGGAGAUUGCAGGUGAGAUGUUGGGAAAGAGUUUUGCUUAGAGCGCCUCUGGGGUUCUGUCCCUGGCUGGGAGAGGAUGGAGGAGCGUGGGAGGAGGCAUCUGACCCCAAGGACU